GAUGAACGCUGGCGGCGUGCCUAAUACAUGCAAGUCGAGCGAAUGGAUUAAGAGCUUGCUCUUAUGAAGUUAGCGGCGGACGGGUGAGUAACACGUGAGUAACCUGCCCAUAAGACUGGGAUUACUCCGGGAAACCGGGGCUAAUACCGGAUAACAUUUUGAACCGCAUGGUUCGAAAUUGAAAGGCGGCUUCGGCUGUCACUUAUGGAUGGACCCGCGUCGCAUUAGCUAGUUGGUGAGGUAACGGCUAACCAAGGCAACGAUGCGUAGCCGACCUGAGAGGGUGAUCGGCCACACUGGGACUGAGACACGGCCCAGACUCCUACGGGAGGCAGCAGUAGGAAUCUUCCGCAAUGGACGAAAGUCUGACGGAGCAACGCCGCGUGAGUGAUGAAGGCUUUCGGGUCGUAAAACUCUGUUGUUAGGGAAGAACAAGUGCUAGUUGAAUAAGCUGGCACCUUGACGGUACCUAACCAGAAAGCCACGGCUAACUACGUGCCAGCAGCCGCGGUAA
RNAcentral lists this ribosomal RNA (514 nucleotides) under uncultured bacterium. RNAcentral describes it as "partial 16S ribosomal RNA". It matches the Rfam family "Bacterial small subunit ribosomal RNA", at positions 28 to 523 of the family's 1533-position model. The record is from RNAcentral.